GCUCCCAUCGUCUAGCGGUAAGGACCCAAGGUUUUCAACCUUGUAACCGGAGUUCGACUCUCCGUGGGAGCACCA
Molecule: transfer RNA, 75 nt
Filed under: Gemmatimonadota bacterium
Lineage: Bacteria; Pseudomonadati; Gemmatimonadota
Description: Gemmatimonadetes bacterium tRNA-Glu
Rfam family: tRNA
About the family: Transfer RNA (tRNA) molecules are approximately 80 nucleotides in length. Their secondary structure includes four short double-helical elements and three loops (D, anti-codon, and T loops).
Source: RNAcentral